CAGGAGAGAGGAACAAGCCAAAGGAGAUGACAUUUCCUGCACAAGCAAAUAGAACAAAUUAAAACGGAUAAAUCUUCCUCUAAAACUCUCAUAAAUGAUCAAAUGCCUAAUUUCACAUCGAUAUAUCGAUUCAGGAUGAAUUCACUCUAUCAAACAACGAAAACAAGAACAAAUUAAAAUUUUACACAGCGAACGAAGAAGAAACGCAAUUCCCAAAGGCACUACUAAAUUUAAGAAGAAACAAACAUAACCAGAAAUUCACAAGACCGGAAACAAAAAUAGCUAUGACGUCUUUUAAUACAAAGAGAAGGAGAAGAAGCGCAUUUUUCGAAUUAAAUAACAGAAACAAUAGAUUUGAAGGGAAAAAGCCAUCACAAAUUCAUCUCUGAAAAGAAAAAAGAAGAAAAACUCAAAGGAAUGAAAUCGCAGAACAAAAUGUUUAUAUAUAUAUAUAUGUAUAUGUAUAUAUAUAUGCGUAUAAAAUACAGAUAAAGACGGCCACUCUGCAGAGCAUACCGAUGAUGCCAACUAUGUUCCGGACGGUUCUCGAACUGAUCAUCUCGAAAUCGCGUGAUCGUAAAAGCAGAAGAGUGGAGAGCGAUGGAGAGCGAGAGAGCAGAAUUGAGGAGCAGAGAAAACGAGAAGCGAGGGAGAAGAAGAGACGGUUAAAUAGAAAGAGAUGGGUG
This 686-nucleotide long non-coding RNA is filed under the name Carica papaya (papaya). RNAcentral's name for it is "long non-coding RNA (CPAP_LNC004378)". Lineage: Eukaryota; Viridiplantae; Streptophyta; Magnoliopsida; Brassicales; Caricaceae. The record is from RNAcentral.